GGGGCUGUAAGUGUAAGGCUGUAAAGUGUAAGUUGGUGUGUUUGAAACAGAGAAGAGGUUCAUCUGGACUGCCGUGUGGAGGAGGGGAGCGCGCAGGAGGCGGAAACGGUGUCAGGCAGGGCAGCCAGGUGCUCAGCAGGGGAACCAGAUGAAAGAGGCUGCCAUCUAAUAUCUCAGCAAAAGAAGGGCCAGACAGGUAUCUGAGCUCAUGGAAAGGUAGGUGUGGGUGGGGUUGCCCUAGGUUACUGGGCUUGUAUAGAAAAGGA
This 266-nucleotide long non-coding RNA is filed under the name Dasypus novemcinctus (nine-banded armadillo). RNAcentral's name for it is "lncRNA (ENSDNOG00000050542.1)". The record is from RNAcentral. Lineage: Eukaryota; Metazoa; Chordata; Mammalia; Cingulata; Dasypodidae.